GAUGUCAAGACGGCCGUUGCACACACGCCCAAAGACA
This 37-nucleotide transfer RNA is filed under the name Hypargos niveoguttatus. RNAcentral's name for it is "partial tRNA-Phe". Lineage: Eukaryota; Metazoa; Chordata; Aves; Passeriformes; Estrildidae. The record is from RNAcentral. RNAcentral also lists the same sequence under 2 other names.